GAUGAACGCUAGCGACAGGCUUAACACAUGCAAGUCGAGGGGCAGCGAGGGCGUAGCAAUACGCUUGUCGGCGACCGGCGCACUGGUGAGUAACACGUAUGCGACCUGCCCCCUACAGGGGUAUAACCCGUAGAAAUGCGGACUAAUCCCCCAUAGUCCUGGGUGCUGCAUGGCAUUCAGGGGAAAGGUCAGCCGGUAGGGGAUGGGCAUGCGGCGCAUUAGCUAGUUGGCGGGGCAACGGCCCACCAAGGCGACGAUGCGUAGGGGUUCUGAGAGGAAGGUCCCCCACACUGGUACUGAGACACGGACCAGACUCCUACGGGAGGCAGCAGUGAGGAAUAUUGGUCAAUGGGCGCAGGCCUGAACCAGCCAAGUCGCGUGAGGGAGGACGGUCCUACGGAUUGUAAACCUCUUUUGUCGGGGGAGUAACGUGCGGGACGCGUCCCGUAUUGAGAGUACCCGAAGAAAAGCAUCGGCUAACUCCGUG
Molecule: ribosomal RNA, 487 nt
Filed under: uncultured bacterium
Lineage: Bacteria
Description: bacterial SSU rRNA
Rfam family: Bacterial small subunit ribosomal RNA
Source: RNAcentral